RNAcentral lists this ribosomal RNA (593 nucleotides) under Aliidongia sp. RNAcentral describes it as "bacterial SSU rRNA". It matches the Rfam family "Bacterial small subunit ribosomal RNA", at positions 123 to 750 of the family's 1533-position model. The record is from RNAcentral. Lineage: Bacteria; Pseudomonadati; Pseudomonadota; Alphaproteobacteria; Rhodospirillales; Dongiaceae.
AACCUGCCUCUUGGUUCGGAAUAACUGCGGGAAACUGCAGCUAAUACCGGAUACGCCCUACGGGGGAAAGAUUUAUUGCCGAGAGAGGGGCCCGCGUCCGAUUAGGUAGUUGGUGGGGUAAUGGCCUACCAAGCCGACGAUCGGUAGCUGGUCUGAGAGGAUGAUCAGCCACACUGGGACUGAGACACGGCCCAGACUCCUACGGGAGGCAGCAGUGGGGAAUAUUGGACAAUGGGCGCAAGCCUGAUCCAGCAAUGCCGCGUGAGUGAUGAAGGCCUUAGGGUUGUAAAGCUCUUUCGGCGGGGACGAUGAUGACGGUACCCGCAGAAGAAGCCCCGGCUAACUUCGUGCCAGCAGCCGCGGUAAUACGAAGGGGGCUAGCGUUGUUCGGAAUUACUGGGCGUAAAGGGCGCGUAGGCGGCCUAGCAAGUUAGAAGUGAAAGCCCCGGGCUCAACCUGGGAAUUGCUUUUGAUACUGCUUGGCUUGAGUUCGGGAGAGGUGAGUGGAAUUCCCAGUGUAGAGGUGAAAUUCGUAGAUAUUGGGAAGAACACCAGUGGCGAAGGCGGCUCACUGGACCGACACUGACGCUGAG